This 291-nucleotide ribosomal RNA is filed under the name Pseudomonas sp. 2995-3. RNAcentral describes it as "partial 16S ribosomal RNA". It matches the Rfam family "Bacterial small subunit ribosomal RNA", at positions 1 to 276 of the family's 1533-position model. Lineage: Bacteria; Pseudomonadati; Pseudomonadota; Gammaproteobacteria; Pseudomonadales; Pseudomonadaceae. The record is from RNAcentral.
AUUUAUUGGAGAGUUUGAUCCUGGCUCAGGACGAACGCUGGCGGCGUGCCUAAUACAUGCAAGUCGAGCGGACUUCUUAAAAGCUUGCUUUUGAGAAGUUAGCGGCGGACGGGUGAGUAACACGUGGGCAACCUGCCUUACAGACUGGGAUAACUCCGGGAAACCGGAGCUAAUACCGGAUGAUCAAAUGGACCGCAUGGUCCGAUUGUAAAAGUUGGGAUUUAUCCUAACACUGUGAGAUGGGCCCGCGGCGCAUUAGCUAGUUGGUGAGGUAACGGCUCCCCAAGGCGA